This 23-nucleotide non-coding RNA is filed under the name Arabidopsis thaliana (thale cress). Lineage: Eukaryota; Viridiplantae; Streptophyta; Magnoliopsida; Brassicales; Brassicaceae. The record is from RNAcentral.
ACAAUAAGGUAUGGUAGUCGUAC